UGGGACAUUGAAGACCAGUCCUGCCUCCUCACUGUGAUUCCCAAAGCCAGUCAGAUCAGAGGAGAGAUGGCAGUUUGUUACUUCUCAAAUGAGCUGAGAGCUCUCUACCUUGCCGCAGAUUGCCUUGUUCUCCUACACUUCCAACAGAAGGAAGACCGGCUAAAUAAUUCUUGUGUGUCCCAUAAUGAACCAAUCCUCUGCUGCCAGUAUAACAAGUCAUUCCGGCAGGUGGUUAGUUGCUCGGAAGGAUCUACUGUAAAAGUGUGGGAUCUUCAAAAUGGACAACUGGUUACUGA
This 296-nucleotide long non-coding RNA is filed under the name Chelonoidis abingdonii (Abingdon island giant tortoise). RNAcentral's name for it is "lncRNA (ENSCABG00000016746.1)". Lineage: Eukaryota; Metazoa; Chordata; Testudines; Testudinidae. The record is from RNAcentral.